CCCUUAGAUGUUCUGGGCUGCACACGCGCUACACUGAAGGGAUCAGCGUGUUCUUUUCCUGGUCCGAAAGGAUCGGGUAACCCGCUGAACCCCCUUCGUGGUAGGGAUCGGAGCUUGCAAUUAUUCUCCGUGAACCAGGAAUUCCCAGUAAGCGCAAGUCAUAAGCUUGCGUUGAUUACGUCCCUGCCCUUUGUACACACCGCCCGUCGCUACUACCGAUUGGACGUUUUAGUGAGGAUUUUGGACUGAGCCAAUGGUGGUUCACACCACUGUUGUGCGUGGAAAGAUCUCCAAACUUGAGCGUUUAGAGGAAGUAAAAGUCGUAACA
Molecule: ribosomal RNA, 328 nt
Filed under: uncultured eukaryote
Lineage: Eukaryota
Description: partial 18S ribosomal RNA
Rfam family: Eukaryotic small subunit ribosomal RNA
Source: RNAcentral